RNAcentral lists this ribosomal RNA (951 nucleotides) under Escherichia coli. Its description in RNAcentral is "partial 23S ribosomal RNA". It matches the Rfam family "Bacterial large subunit ribosomal RNA", at positions 246 to 1238 of the family's 2925-position model. Lineage: Bacteria; Pseudomonadati; Pseudomonadota; Gammaproteobacteria; Enterobacterales; Enterobacteriaceae. The record is from RNAcentral.
GCGGCGAGCGAACGGGGAGGAGCCCAGAGCCUGAAUCAGUGUGUGUGUUAGUGGAAGCGUCUGGAAAGGCGCGCGAUACAGGGUGACAGCCCCGUACACAAAAAUGCACAUACUGUGAGCUCGAUGAGUAGGGCGGGACACGUGGUAUCCUGUCUGAAUAUGGGGGGACCAUCCUCCAAGGCUAAAUACUCCUGACUGACCGAUAGUGAACCAGUACCGUGAGGGAAAGGCGAAAAGAACCCCGGCGAGGGGAGUGAAAAAGAACCUGAAACCGUGUACGUACAAGCAGUGGGAGCCUCUUAAUGGGGUGACUGCGUACCUUUUGUAUAAUGGGUCAGCGACUUAUAUUCUGUAGCAAGGUUAACCGAAUAGGGGAGCCGAAGGGAAACCGAGUCUUAACUGGGCGUUAAGUUGCAGGGUAUAGACCCGAAACCCGGUGAUCUAGCCAUGGGCAGGUUGAAGGUUGGGUAACACUAACUGGAGGACCGAACCGACUAAUGUUGAAAAAUUAGCGGAUGACUUGUGGCUGGGGGUGAAAGGCCAAUCAAACCGGGAGAUAGCUGGUUCUCCCCGAAAGCUAUUUAGGUAGCGCCUCGUGAAUUCAUCUCCGGGGGUAGAGCACUGUUUCGGCAAGGGGGUCAUCCCGACUUACCAACCCGAUGCAAACUGCGAAUACCGGAGAAUGUUAUCACGGGAGACACACGGCGGGUGCUAACGUCCGUCGUGAAGAGGGAAACAACCCAGACCGCCAGCUAAGGUCCCAAAGUCAUGGUUAAGUGGGAAACGAUGUGGGAAGGCCCAGACAGCCAGGAUGUUGGCUUAGAAGCAGCCAUCAUUUAAAGAAAGCGUAAUAGCUCACUGGUCGAGUCGGCCUGCGCGGAAGAUGUAACGGGGCUAAACCAUGCACCGAAGCUGCGGCAGCGACACUAUGUGUUGUUGGGUAGGGGAGCG